This 492-nucleotide ribosomal RNA is filed under the name uncultured bacterium. RNAcentral's name for it is "partial 16S ribosomal RNA". It matches the Rfam family "Bacterial small subunit ribosomal RNA", at positions 29 to 507 of the family's 1533-position model. The record is from RNAcentral.
AGUGAACGCUGGCGGUAGGCCUAACACAUGCAAGUCGAACGGCAGCACAGUAAGAGCUUGCUCUUACGGGUGGCGAGUGGCGGACGGGUGAGGAAUACAUCGGAAUCUACUUUUUCGUGGGGGAUAACGUAGGGAAACUUACGCUAAUACCGCAUACGACCUACGGGUGAAAGCAGGGGAUCUUCGGACCUUGCGCGAUUGAAUGAGCCGAUGUCGGAUUAGCUAGUUGGCGGGGUAAAGGCCCACCAAGGCGACGAUCCGUAGCUGGUCUGAGAGGAGGAUAGGCCACACUGGAACUGGGACACGGUCCAGACUCCUACGGGAGGCAGCAGUGGGGAAUAUUGGACAAUGGGCGCAAGCCUGGUCCAGCCAUACCGAGUGGGUGAAGAAGGCCUUCGGGUUGUAAAGCCCUUUUGUUGGGAAAGAAAAGCAGCAGGUUAAUACCCCGCUGUUCUGACGGUACCCAAAGAAUAAGCACCGGCUAACUUCGUG